Aegilops tauschii subsp. strangulata is the source of this 1233-nucleotide long non-coding RNA. RefSeq lists it as uncharacterized. The record is from RefSeq and is a predicted model, not a curated record. NCBI's taxonomy places the organism in Eukaryota, Viridiplantae, Streptophyta, Magnoliopsida, Poales, Poaceae.
CGUCAUGUCCCUUUCCGAUCCGUGGAUCAGGAACCAUGCUUUCGGUUAUUGCGGCAGAUCCAGAGUAAAUGCGGGGAUGCCGGUCUGGGACUCUGGGUGGACUCGUCCCCUACCUCAGUCCGCUCGAUUUUUUCAUUAGCGAUAGAGUUCAUCUGCGAAGAGGCCCUCACAAGUCUGUCCGCCGUCGGUGAAGAUGGAGGGAGUUCUUGAUGCAGCUAAUUGUGCGGAGCUGAAGGCCGACGGGCAGAUCUGUGAGGCGCAGGGGGUGGCGGCCGGGGAUGGUGUGUGUGUGUCUGAGCAGUCGACUGGCGAGAUGAAUCCUAAAGACCAUGGCUGGACCUGAAGGAGCGGCACUCCAUGGCCCGGAGCGAGGGGGUUGCCUCUACGGUGAGGCGGUCCUUUUCGGAGUUGGCUCGGUCUGUUUGGUACCCUGGUGACCGGUGGUUUCUUCAGGCGGCUCGGCUCCGGUCUUGUCCAGUAGUAUUGGGUGUUAUGUGUUAGGGAUGGUGUCUCUUGGUUUAAUGCUCGGUGUUGGUUUAGUGGUACUUGUGCCACUAGACCAUUGCCGUUUUAUUUUUCUUUGGACCUGCUUGUAUGAGGGUUUCCUCACCACUUUGUAUCAGUUCGGCCAUUGGUGCCUUUAUUUAUAAAGGGGAGCGAAAGCCUGUUUCGAGAGAGAAACAACCAUUUCCCAAGCAUAAUAUUGGCGGGGGUAUUGGUUUGCGAUGAGAAAGUGGAGAGCUUUGAAUGGGUGUCCGAUGAAUUUACCAGGAUGAUGGGGGCUAUUGAACCAAAAGAAAAACUGACAGACCAAAAUCGUGCAAUGGAGGUUGCAUCAAGAAUGUCAUGCCUAGUACCGCACACUGAUGGUGCAAGGGCAUGUCCUGAAGAAGGCAAAGGAAUCGUUGGGAUCCUUGUACACCAAGAAGAGCGAGUUCCGGGAAGAAUUUUACAAAGUUGUUAGUUCACAUGCUAACAAUAGAUGAGUUUGAGGAAGCUUGGAAACUCCUGAUGGAGAAGUACAACUUGCUGACUCACCCAUACAUGACACAGCUGUAUGAGAUCAGGCACAAGUGGGCUAAGCAUUAUUUCAAGGGGGAUUUCUGUGAAAAAAUGAUGAGCGCAAACCAUAUGCUUAAGAAUAUGUGCCACCAGGCUUCCCUAUGCAUUUGUUUGUGAGGAAGUACAUGAGGCUGCAAUUCAACUGGGAGUCAAGAUGAAAAUUAUGAGAAG